GAUGAAGAACGUAGCGAAAUGCGAUACUUGGUGUGAAUUGCAGAAUCCCGUGAACCAUCGAGUCUUUGAACGCAAGUUGCGCCCGAAGCCACUAGGCCGAGGGCACGCCUGCCUGGGCGUCACACGCCGUUGCCCCCCCAUCUACUCCUUCGGGAUUGCGGGGGGGCGGAUGAUGGCCUCCUGUGCGCCUAGCCGCGCGGUUGGCAUAAAUACCAAGUCCUCGGCGACGCACGCCACGACAAUCGGUGGUUGCGAAACCUCGGUUGCCCGUCGUGUGCGUUCGUCGCGCAUCGAGGGCUCGAAAAAAUGCUCGGCUCCGGCUGGGCUUUCAACGCGACCCCAGGUCAGGCGGGGUUACCCGCUGAAUUUAAGCAUAUCAAUAAGCGGAGG
Molecule: unclassified non-coding RNA, 390 nt
Filed under: soil metagenome
Description: partial contains 5.8S ribosomal RNA, internal transcribed spacer 2, and large subunit ribosomal RNA
Rfam family: 5.8S ribosomal RNA (bases 1-122)
Source: RNAcentral